Molecule: transfer RNA, 72 nt
Filed under: Okamejei hollandi (yellow-spotted skate)
Lineage: Eukaryota; Metazoa; Chordata; Chondrichthyes; Rajiformes; Rajidae
Also listed under: 1 other name
Description: tRNA-Gln
Rfam family: tRNA
About the family: Transfer RNA (tRNA) molecules are approximately 80 nucleotides in length. Their secondary structure includes four short double-helical elements and three loops (D, anti-codon, and T loops).
Source: RNAcentral
UAGGAAGUAGUAUAGAUGGAAGUACAUAGAGUUUUGAUCUCUAAUGGACAGGUUCAAGUCCUGUUUUUCUAA